This 253-nucleotide ribosomal RNA is filed under the name uncultured bacterium. Its description in RNAcentral is "partial 16S ribosomal RNA". It matches the Rfam family "Bacterial small subunit ribosomal RNA", at positions 524 to 776 of the family's 1533-position model. The record is from RNAcentral.
UACGGAGGGUGCAAGCAUUAAUCGGAAUUAUUGGGCGUACAGGGCGCGUAGGCGGUUAUGAAAGUCAGAUGUGACAUCCCGAAGCUCAACUUCGGAACUGCAUUUGAAACUCCAUAGCUAGAGGAUAGGCGGAGAAAGCGGAAUUCCACAAGUAGCGGUGAAAUGCGUAGAUAUGUGGAAGAACACCAGUGGCGAAGGCGGCUUUCUAGCUUAUACCUGACGCUGAUGCGCGAAAGCAAGGGGAUCAAACAGG